AGGAAGUAGGGAGCUGAUUUGGACUGGACAGAGAUGAGGUUGUAGGUAGCUGAUGUGGACUGAAGAGAAAAAUGCCGUAGGUAGCUGAUUUGGACUGGAGAGAGAGGUUGUAUGUAGCUGAUUUGGACUGGAGAGAGAAGAUGAUUUGGACUUGAGAAAGAGGAGGUUGUAGGUAGCUAAUUUGGACUGGAGAGAUAGGAAGUAAGUAGCUGAUAUGGAACGGAGAGAGUGGAAGUAGGUAGCUGAUUUGGAAUGGAGAGAGAGAAGGCUGUAAGUAGCUUUUUUGGACUGGAGAGAGGUUGUUGGUAGUUGAUUUGGACUGGAGAGAGAAGAUGAUUUGGACUGGAAAGAGAGGAAAUAGGUAGAUGAUUUUGACUUGAGAGAGGAAGUAUGUAGCUUAAUUGGACUGGAGAAAGAGGAAGUAGGUAGUUGAUUUGGACUGGAGAAAGAGGAAGUUGUAGGUAGCUGAUUUGGACUGGAGAGAUAGGAAGUAAGUAGCUGAUAUGGAACGGAGAGAGUGGAAGUAGGUAGCUGAUUUGGACUGGAGAGAGAUGUUGUAUGUAAUCAAUUUUGACUGGAGAGAGAAGAUGAUUUGGACUGGAGAAAGAGGAAGUAGGGAGCUGAUUUGGAUUAGAGAGAUAGGAAGUAGGUAGCUGAUAUUGAAUGGAAAGAGAGGAAGUAGGUAGCUGAUUUGGACUGGAGAGAGAAGAUGAUUGGUACUGUGGAAAGUGGAAGUAUGAAGCUCAUGUGGACGGGAGCUAGAGGAAGUCGGUAGCUGAUUUGGAAUGGAGAGAGAGGAAGUAGGUUGCAUAUUUUAACUGGAGAGUGAAUAAGUAGGUAGUUGAUUUGGACUGGAGAAAGAGGAAUUAGGUAGCUGAUUUGGACGGGAGAGAGAGGAAAUAGGUAGCUGAUUUGGACAGGAGAGAGCGGAAGUAGGUAGUUGAUUUUGACUUGAGAGAGAGGAAUUAGGUAGCUUAUUUGAAAUGGAGAGAGUGGAAGUAGGUACCUUAUUUGGACUUGAGAGAGAGGAAGUAGGUUAUUGAUUUUGACUGGAGAAAGAAGAAGUAGAUCAUUGAUUUGGACUUAAUAAAUUGGAGGUUGUAGGUAGAUGAUUAGGACUGGAAAGAGAGUAGAUUGUAAGUAGCUGAUUUUGACUGGAGAGAGUACAAGAAGAAAGAUGAUUUGGACAGGAGAGAGGAAGUAGGUUUCUGAUUUGGACUGGAGAGAGAGGAAGUAGGUAGACGAUUUGGACUGGAGAAAGAGGAAGUAGGUAAUUGAUUUGGAUUUGAGAAAGAGGAGAUUAUAGGUAGUUGAUUUGGACUAGAGAGAGAGAGGAGGUAGGUAGCUGAUUUGGACUGUAAAGAAAGGAGGUUGUAAGUAGCUGAUUUGAGACUUGAGAGAGAGGACGUAGGUAGCUUAUUUGGACUGGAGAGAGAGGAGGAAGUAGGUAUCUGAUUUUUACUGGAGAGAGAGGAGGCUGUAAGCAGCUGAUUUGGACAGGAGAGAAAGGAAGUAAGUAGCUGAUAUGGAAUGGCAAGAGAGGAAGUAGGUAGCUGAUUCGGACUGGAAAGAGAUGAGGUUGUAGGAAGCUGAUGUGGACUGGAGAGAGAAAUGCCGUCAGUAGCUGAUUUGGACUGGAGAGAGAGGAAGUAGUUAUCUGAUUUUUACUGGAGAGAGAGGAGGCUGUAAGCAGCUGAUUUGGGCUGGAGAGAAAGGAAGUAAGUAGCUGAUAUGGAAUGGCAAGAGAGGAAUUAGGUAGCUGAUUUGGACUGGAAAGAGAUGAGGUUGUAGGUUGCUGAUGUGGACUGGAGAGAGAAAUGCCGUCGGUAGCUUAUUUGGACUGGAGAGAGAGGUUGUAUGUAGCUGAUUUGGACUGGAGAGAGAAGAUGAUUUGGACUGGAGAAAGAGGAAGUAGGUAGCGGAUUUGGACAGGAGAGAGAGGAAGUUGGUUACUGAUUUGGACUGGAGAGAGAGGAAGUAGGCAGCUUAUUUGGACUGGAGAAAGAGGAAGUAGGUCAUUGAUUUGUUCUUAAAAUGGGUAGGUUGUUGGUUGCUGAUUUGGACCGGAGAGAGAGGAGGUUGUAAGUAGCUGAUUUGACUGGAGAGAGAGGAGGUUGUAAGUAGCUGAUUUGAGACUGGAUAGAGGGGAAGUAGGUAGUUGAUUUGAACUGGAGAGAGAGGAAUUAGUUAACUGUUUUGGACUUAAAAGAGGAGGUUGUAGGUAGCUGAUUUUGACUUGAGAGAGAGGAAUUAGGUAGCUGAUUUGGAAUGGAGAGAGUGGAAGUAGGUACCUUAUUUGGACUUGAGAAAGAGGAAGUAUGUAGCUGAUUUGGACUGGAGAGAGAGGAGGAUGUAGGUAGCUGAUUUGGACUAGAGAGAGAGGAGGAUGUAGGUAGCUGAUUUGGAUUGGAGAGAGAUAGGUUGUAGGUUGCUAAUUUUGGACUGGAGAGAGACUAGAUUGUAUGUAGCUGAUUUUUACUGGAGAGAUAGGAAGCAUGUAGCUUAUUUGGACUGGAGUGAGAAGAUGAUUUUGACUGGAGAGAGAUGAAAUAGGUAGAUCAUGUGGACUGGAGAGAGAGGAAGUUGAUAGCUUAUUUGGACUGGUGAGAGAGGAAGAAGGUAGCUGAUUUGGAAUGGAGAGAGAGGAAGUAGGUAGCUUAUUUGGACUGGAGAGAGAGGAAGUAUGUACAGUAGCUGAUUUGGACUGGAGAGAGAGGAAGUCGGUAGCUGAUUUGGACUGGAGAGAGGGGAGGUUGUAGGUAGCUGAUUUGGAUUGGAGAGAGAGAAAGGUUGUAGGUAUCUGAUUUUGGACUGGAGAGGGAGUAGAUUGGAAGUAGCUGAUUAUGACUGGAGAGAGAGGAAGUAGGUAGUUAAUUUGGACAGGAGAGAGAAGAAGUAGGUAGUUAAUUUGGACAGGAGAAAGAGUUAGUAGGUAAUUGAUUUGGACUUGAGAAAGAGCAGGUUGUAGGUAGCUGAUUUUGGACUGGAGAGAGAGGAAGUUGGUAGCUGAUAUGGAAUGGAGACUUUGGAAUUAGGUAGCUGAUUUGGACUGAAGAGAGGGGAGAUUGUAGGUAGCUAAUUUGGACUGGAGUGAGAAAGGUUGUCGGUAGCUGAUUUGGACUGGAGAGAGAGAUUGCAGGUAGCUUAUAUUGACUGGAGAGAGAACAUGAUUUGGACUGGAGAGAGAGGAUGUAGGUAGCUGAUUUGGACUGGAGAGAGAAGAAGUAGGUAGCUGAUUUGGACUGGAGAGAGAGGAAGUAGGGAAUUGAUUUGGACUGGAGAAGAGGAAAUAGGUAAUUGAUUUGGACUUAAGAUAUUGGAGGUUGUAGGUAGCUGAUUUAGGACUGGAGAGAGAGUAGAUUGUAAGUAGCUGAUUUUGAGUGGAGAGAGAGUCAGUAGGAAGAUGAUUUGGACUGGAGAGAGAGGAAGUAGGCAGCUGAUUUGGACUAGAGAAAAAGGAAGUAGGUAGCUGAUUUGGACUGUAAAGAAAAGAGGUUGUAAGUAGCUGAUUUGAGACUGGAUAGAGGGGAAGUAGGUAGUUGAUUUGGACUGGAGAAAGAGGAAGUAGGUAAUUGAUUUGGACUUAAGAAAUAUGAAGUUGUAGCCUGCUGAUAUUGGACUGGAGAGAGAGUAGAUUGUAAGUAGCUGAUUUUGUGUGGAGAGAGAGUAGGAAUUAGGAAGGUGAUUUGGACUGGAGAGAAAAUAAGUAGGUAGCGGAUUUGGACUGGAGAGAGUGGAAGUAGGUAGCUGAUUUCCACUGGAGAGAGAGGAAGUAGACUGCUGAUUUGGACUGGCGAAAGAGGAAGUAGGUAGCAGAUUUGGACUGUAGAGAAAAGAGGUUGUAAGUAGCUGAUUUGAGACUGGAUAGAGGGGAAGUAGGUAGUUGAUUUGGACUGGAGCGAGAGGAAGUUGUUACUUUAUUUGGACUUAUGAAUGAGGAGGUUGUAGGUAGCUGAUUUGGUUUGGAGAGAGAAAGGUUGUAGGUAGCUGAUUUUGGACUGGAGAGAGAGUAUACUGUAAGUAGCUGAUUUUGACUGGAGAGAGAGGAAGUAGGUAGUUAAUUUGGACUGGAGAAAGAGUUAGCAGGUAAAUUAUUUGGACUUGAGAAAGAGCAGGUUGUAGGUAGCUGAUUUUGGACUGGAUCGAGAGGAGGUUGUAAGUAGCUAAUUUUGACUGUGGAGAGAGGAAGUCGGUAGCUGAUUUGGACUGGAGAAAGAGGACAUUGGAAGUAUAUGAUUUGGACUUGAAUGAGUGGAAGUGUGUUGCUGAUUUGAACUGGAGAGAGAGGAAGUAGGUAGCUGAUUUGGACUGGAGAGAGAGAUUAGGUUGUAGGUAGCAGAUUUUGACUGGAGAGAGGGG
Molecule: long non-coding RNA, 4359 nt
Filed under: Salmo salar (Atlantic salmon)
Lineage: Eukaryota; Metazoa; Chordata; Actinopteri; Salmoniformes; Salmonidae
Description: lncRNA (ENSSSAG00000086769.1)
Source: RNAcentral